RNAcentral lists this long non-coding RNA (895 nucleotides) under Homo sapiens (human). RNAcentral describes it as "novel transcript". The record is from RNAcentral. Lineage: Eukaryota; Metazoa; Chordata; Mammalia; Primates; Hominidae.
AUGCAGAAAAAUCAUUUGACAAAAUUCUACACCCAUUGAUGAUAAAGAACUCUGACCAAACUAGAAAUAGAAGGAAAGUUCUUCAGCCAAAUAAAGAGCUACCACAGGAACAUACAAGGAAAGCUGAGAGAAUCCACAGACCCUCUGAAGGAACUGGAUCGCCACUGCAGGCUCCCUGAGAUGCUGAAAAACUCACCAUUCACAAUAGCAAAGACAUGGAGACAACCUAAAUGACCAUCAAUAGUAGACUGGAAUAAAGAGAAUGUAGUAUAUAUACACCACGGAAUACUAUGCAGCCAUUAAGAAGAACCAGAUUCAUGUCUGUCUCAGGCAGUGGUGAGACAAGAUGGUGGAUCCCCACACCAUUAUCCAUCAGACCCUGUGCUCCAUAGGGAAAGGGCAUAUGUGACUCAGAGGAAUGUGUAGGACAAUUGCCAAGCGCAAGACACAUGGAGGAUCCUCAUACAGUGGCUGGGUGAAGUGACUUUUGUUCUCUACUGCAAGUAGUGAUGUCUCAGUGAAGGUCUAUCAAUGAGAAGAAAGUGCCAACUGAAAACUUUUAGAAAAUACCCAGUUUACUCAAGGAAAAUAACAUGCAUUGAAGGUGAUUGCUCAAUAGAGAGAAGUUGAAACAGCAGACUAAUUGCCUGUUUGUGACACCCAUGUAAUCAACUUGGUGAAAGUUACAUUGAUACAGACACAAGCGAAAAAUUUGAUGGCCAAUAGGGGACAUGAUCCAUUUUCCAGUGCCUAUAGGUUGAGGUUGAUCUGAAAGAUAGGACUAUUUGUGAUCCAGAAUCAAAAGAGUCAAGAAAAGUCUGAGAAUUUCAUCCUUGGAGCAGAAAGUGAAAGUGUUCUGGAGCCAAAAGUAGUAACAAAGAUGGAGGGCAAGAGA